UUCUUCCUGUAGUGGAUGAGUGGAUUCUAGUGCAUGUUAAAUUAUUGUCAUGACUAGAUCACACUCAUCCAUCAAAAGAAGAU
Zootermopsis nevadensis is the source of this 83-nucleotide non-coding RNA. NCBI's taxonomy places the organism in Eukaryota, Metazoa, Arthropoda, Insecta, Blattodea, Termopsidae. The record is from Rfam.